AAACCCCCUACAUUGCGAUUGCCAUUUAGUCACCUUUAUCCGCUUGAUGAAAACAAGGCGAUUGCAGUUAAAGCCCUUCUCGUGGAGUACGGAACCUUCCUGUCAAAACCCUCUUAAUUUAAAAGAAACGUUGCUGAAGGACAUUUCACUUCAAGAAGUAGUCUGUGAUUCAGGGAAUGCGACAACUCAAACCUACACAGUAGAUGUGACGCCUCUAAACUCAAUGUCCAAAGCCGGAGAUAACUAUACAUCUCUCUGUAACAUUUCGGGACAUGGGACACUAGACAUCAUCACAAAUUUAAAGGUGAAGUGGUACCACAAUUCAAAGCUGUUGACCAGUCAGUGUACCUUGGAGGAUGUGUCAAUGGCGGAGAAGUAUUCGUGUGAGGUACUCCCCCCUCAACAGAACAACAUCAGCUUAGAGAUGACAGUAAUGGAUAUACAAAAAGAUGAUGUUGGGAUUUUAACCUGUGAAUUGACUCAGCAGGUGAAGAAGAACGGGAUAUGGAAAGACGAAUUGUUAGAGUAUGAGUCCGUGGUAAUCCAAAUCAGAGGUAUAUGUAGAGGAAGACGAUCAUGCGUAAAAGUUACUGUAUAUAUAAAUUUUGCCCUGGCUUCAAUGAAUGUAAGGUGAAUAUAACGAAUAGUGAUCAAUCUCACAACCCCUUUUGAUGAAUGCAAAAUAAAAAGUUGAAGAAACGCGGACCAUGGGCAUACCAGAAGUGAGAUCGGGUGUGUUUGAGGCGCAGUCAUUCUCUGUUGUUCGGCCACACCCACCGUGGGCCCUAUAUCUUAAUCAAGUAAACAUACUUCCGUAGGCAAAAUCAAUUUGCCAAGAAUGGCCUAAAAAUUGGUAUGAAACACUUUACACAGCAUUUCAUGCAAUGCUAGGUUGGUGAAAUAUCAAUGGGAGUUAAAAAUUUAGAAUUAAUAAGAGGGGAUGCUUGCUCUUCCUAUGCACCUCAUCCAACUGCUGGUGUGCCCAGGUGUUCAUAUUUGACCUCUUCUUAAUUUUAUUUUUGAGAUUGAUUAUUCUUCGUUGUCUUCAAUUGACAGCAAUACAAACGAAGCAAGUCAACACUUGAUCUGGCAAAUAUUUAUCAUGUAUCUAGAGUUUUUUUGUCAUUGUAUAAGACACUAGAGCUGGUUUAUCAAAUAACAAUUUGCCGUAUACGUCUAAACACGUGAUGCAUACAUUCAUCAGCAACCAAUGACACAAUAUCUCUUGACACGGUGACAUUGGAAGCCUCGAAUUGAAAUACCUUUUGCAAGAAGAAUUCCAAUCCAACAGGUAAACCCUAGGUAUAGAGAUUGGAUUUGUGUCGAAUUUCUAAAUUCUCCAUGCCAUAUGAAGUAAGUUUGUUACUUUAUUUAAUUUGUUGGUUAUAAAUAUUAUGAACUGCCCGACAAAUGCGGACUUUUCUAUUGUUAAACAUUGUUUCACUGAUACCACAAGUUGGAAUCUAAGUUGAAACGAUUUUGAAUUUGAUUUUGCACGUGGCGUAGAUAAUUCGAAAUUGCAGAGCAGAGGACACAACUUUGACAAAAGUUUAUAUAAUGAUACUAAUUUUGUUUGUUGUGCCGCUUUUUAAGGUGUUAUCGAUAGAGUAAUCAAAUAACGUGAAAACAAUCAUAUUUUACGUCCACGAAGUAGUUAAUCAGUCUCAGCUGGUAAUUCGAGUAAGCUGAUCUUUGCUUAACGCUGAUGAAUUGCAAAGUUGUGUUUUGAGAAGGGAAACAAAUAAUUUACAUUUGGGUAUACCAUUUGCAAUACUGAUUGUUUAAUAGGCAAGAUGUUCCCAUGUCAUGAGAAAAAUACGAUAUCCUUGUAUAUUUCAAACAGAUUGCCGUAAUGUAACAUACUCAAUCGAAUAACAAGGCCAAUGGGCGUAUUUUUAACUCGUGUAUUUAAAGAUAUCAAAAUAUCGCAUUGUAUCAAAAUGAAAAGGGAUAACUGAGAACCACUCGUUACAAACCAUGUUCAAAUAAAUCCAUGGAAGAUCCAUCGAUGGACUGUUACCUACACAACGUGAGAGACAUGUAUCCCUGUCUUCAACAUUGGUAGACAUUAAUAUCGAUAUAUUCAACACUGGUAAGUAUUUAUAUUCCAACAGUCAACGCUGGUGAGUACAGAUGUCUGUUAUCCCAUAAGAUUGGUUACUAUAGACUAAUAUAGAAUAAAACAACCAGAAAGUGCAUCGCUGUAUGUUUACCCAGAAUGUACAAGGUGCACGUUUAAUUGGUAUUGACAUGUUUUACGUUUUGUUAGUGUAUACAAGGUAUAGAUUUACUCGGUAAAUAGAAUGCAUAUAUUUCCUUUGUAUUUACAAGUUAUACGUUUACUUGGUAUUUACAAGUCAUACGUUUGUUCGAUAUACGCGUAUUUCUUGCUCCCGGAGCGAACGGGGGAUCGAAAUAUUAAUAACAUCAUAUUCGUGUUUACUGAGCUGAUUAUAAUGACAAUAAUCACAAACAUGGAACAUGGUAAGUAUCCAAUGUUUCAUUCAUUAUUUCUAUCAUUGUAUUUGAACAUUUCAGGAGAUCAGAAAUACGGCUGUCUCUUUGUCGGUUGGAGAAGGACAUGAUCUGCGUGUGGACGGGUUUUUGGAGAUCACCGUCAGAUGCUGACAAGCUGGUGUUGCCUGGAUUUCGGCGGUCUCCUUCGAAAUUGUCAUUUCGCAAGUUCUAUUGCCGUUAUGAUUACCCCGCUUACCUGAUCAAAACAGAGGGUUCACGAACGAAUUCACAGAUCAACAACGAAUAUCGUAUCCUCCUAGACAACUGAUCCCACGUCCAUUGAUUUAAAUGGUAUACUCAUCAUGAUCUAUCAUUGCCGCCAUGGAUGCAACAACAUUUCGAUUCGACCCAUUAUGAACCACGGACGCUGAAAACACUGCAUCUCUACAUCGUAAUUCCGACAUGUCCAAUGUUGAACAGGACUUGGGUUGUUUUCAACACACUUAUCGCAUAUGAUUUCAUGAUAUAUGGGGAUUAUAUCACUAGUAAGAGAAGGAACAAUAUCGCCACUUGAUGUUUCACGUUCUGCCCAAUGGACGUACCGCUACUGACACCCCAGUUCACUCGGUUACACUGCUUCGGUUGGAGGUAGAGGGAGGGACCAACCUGCAAUGGACUGGUGUCUCACUCUGCGGGAAUCUAUUACUCCCAUUCAUUAAACACCUUAUCAUUCAGAGAAACAACCAUGUACGAUUUCCAGACCUCGUAGCUACGUAAGGCAUAGUAUAUAUUUAGUUGCAUUGUAUUUUUUUCGUUCGUAUUGCUUGUUGAUACUUACUACUAGACCAAUCCUGCCGGGUGACAAAAAAGAGUAGGGUCACUUCCUAACAAGACAAUAAAGGCUUUGAAUGUUGAAACAUCUCUUAAUGGAAUCCAAUUUGUAGUUGAUUUUAGUGGAGUUUUUUUGUAUUUGUUUCUUAUGUAUGUAUGUUUUUUGUUUGUUUGUUUGUGUUUUGUUUGUUUGUUUGUUUUUUUCUUUUUUUCUCUCCCAAUAUUAUUAUUUAGUUGAAUAAUGAGUAGUUCGAUCUUUACGCCAGAAAUUGUUUCCUCUUACGUGUCAUAGAUGCAUGAUAACAUCAUCUGAAUAAAUACAAUUUAUGUCGAUACUUACCCGUGGGGAUUGCAAAUAUUUGUCUCGGUGAAUUAUCUACAUGUAUAUGAUUGAGAAAAGUGUUUCACAGUGUUUUGGGACCUGGGAAUUCGUUUAGUUUGGUCGGUUGUUUGACCUUUGAAAAAAAAUAUACUUCCGUUAGCAGUUAACAAAAUUUAAUUACUUUGCAAUUACAGGAUUAUUGAUAUUAAAAGAUCUUGGAUUUUAUUGUAGGCUCAUUUUUAUUUCAUUAGAAUUUCUCAUUUCUUUAUUGAAAUCCUCAACUAAUAUAUAGGUUAAUAUUUGUAUUACUAUAAUUCUAUACAUAGUCUACAUCCCCUAGGUAACAUCUUUCAUGCCACCCAGAAGGAUUUAUGCUACCACAGUGCUGUCCAUGAAACUGUCUCAAACAAAAGCAAGACAUUGAUAGUCGUGGAUAGUGCUUCAUCCCUGACAACAACUUCCUAUUCAAUGACAACAGGGUCAGCCGUCAAUCUUAUUCUUCCAGCCGGCAACUGCUAUACUGAAUUCAUAUCACUUUAAAUUCUCAGUUGGAGGGAUUUCCCAAGUCUGUAGCAUCAGAGCCACCAGUUUCCAUUAAUCAACUACUGUACCAUCACCUGAACAGAUGCUAGUUACACUCUGCUAGAAUCAUUUUAUUUUAUAACUAUGGCGGUUUAACCUUAGUGUUGCUAGAUAUAUCAUUUCACAUGUAAUGUAUUAUCUUACUAGCAUGAUAUGUUUCAUGGUGGAACACGCAGACUGUCCACAGCAUUUAUUUAUAUUUCAUAUAGUGUAACCACGCGUACUUCCAAUGCUUACCUUCUCAUAGAAUAAUUUUAUAAACCAAUUCUAAAGUUUUAUUUGUGUAUGUGGACAUUCAUAUAUAUCUGUAUAUAAAACAUUAAAACUUCGUUACAUGUGCGUCGUAUUGCUACGUAUGUAAACUUAGAUGUACAUUUGUACAUUUAAUUAUAUUUACAUCAUUAAGUCCACU
Ostrea edulis (European flat oyster) is the source of this 4604-nucleotide RNA transcript. RefSeq lists it as uncharacterized. The record is from RefSeq and is a predicted model, not a curated record. Lineage: Eukaryota; Metazoa; Mollusca; Bivalvia; Ostreida; Ostreidae. The transcript has 7 exons.